RNAcentral lists this long non-coding RNA (2210 nucleotides) under Sus scrofa (pig). Its description in RNAcentral is "lncRNA (ENSSSCG00000059191.1, ENSSSCG00130034637.1)". The record is from RNAcentral. Lineage: Eukaryota; Metazoa; Chordata; Mammalia; Artiodactyla; Suidae.
AAAUAUAUCACUCUCUGCAAUUAUAUACAGUUUUGUUUGUUUAAUUUCCAUCUCUUAGCACAAGUCUGUGAGUUCCACGAGGUUAGUAAAUUGAUGCUCUGGUUCACCUGUGUACCCAGUGUAUUAGUGUUUGGUGUGUCUCCAGCAAUUGCUAUUUGUUGAAUGAAUGCCUAAAUUAUCAGGAAAUGCUGGGGUAAAGACAUUAAGGUGGUAACACUCAUCAUAUAUUUAAUUGUUUUUAGGAAUUCUUCAACAUAUGAAAGAGUAAUAUGAUUAUCACCCUAGAAGAAUGUUAUAGAAAAAUACUGGAGACCCUUUGAGGGCAGAGAUCAUUCUAUUUUGCUUUGUAUCUUCCACAUUGACUGGAGCAGUAUUUUGUAAAUAAAAGCAUUAUGGUUAAUACUCACUGAAUUAAUUCAUGAAUGCAUUGAUGAGUUAAAAAAAUUUUCUAAAGCAGGAGCACACUUUAUGUUUGUUACAUUAUUUCUCCCUAACCAGUACUUUACUAUGGGUACUACUUUAAAAAACAAGGAUUAGUGCACGUGACUGAAUAUGCCUGGUUUUUACAGUAACUUUGGGCCUUAAAGACAUUAGGGAUCCCCUCCUAGUACUAAUUAGAGAGAUAAGGAGUAUAUGAAAGUUUUUUAAUAAGCUGAUUAUAGAGCAACACCAGUGUGGAGCAACAAAUCAUCUUAUCAUCUAGAAUAAUGCAUGAGAUUCAAGGAGACAAACAGUAUUUAUUAUAUUAAAAAAUUACACUGUCCAUUUAGUAUAAAAGAACCAGAUAAAACUGGUUAUGUUACAAGGAAAAUGCUUAGACGUAAUUAGCAUUUCCAGAUGAAUUUUGCUUUUAUGUAUUAGUAUCCUAUUGAAGUUCUUAGGGUAGAAAGCAUUUAUGAUUACUGGCAGGUGUUCACAAGCAUAUUUUACUAUGAGCAGUGCAUUAAAAACUAAAGAUUGACUCAUCUCAACAACCCCUGUGUAGAAAACUCUUCAGGUGGUCUUGGAUUAGGAGUUCCGCUUUUGGCACAGCAGAAACGAAUCCGACUAGGAACCAUGAGCUUGAAGAUUCCAUCUCUGGCCUCGUUCAGUGGGUUACAGAUCCUGCGUUGCCAUGAGCUGUGGUGUAUGUUGCAGAUGUGGUUUGGACCCGUGUUGCUGUGGCUGUGGUGUAGGCGGGCAGCUGGAGCUCCGAUUGGACCCCUAGCCCGGGAACCGCCAUGUGCCGCGGGAGCAGCCCUAAAAAGGCAAUAAAUAAAUAAUCCUUAACAGGCCAAUGUUUAAAGUCAGUAUAAGUGUAUUGACUUUAUAUAAAUUCACUGUCUAGCUUCUUUAUUAAUUUGUUAACUAAUUCACCUAAUGUUAUAGAGUUAUGAGCCAAAUAAUCUUAAGCACCAAAGAUAAGGAAGAUGUCAUAAAACCUUCCUUUCCUGAACAUAUAAUGGGCCAAAAAUCUGAAGUGAAUAUAAGAGAGAAGAAAGCUAAGGUGCAAAAGGAGUGUUUUUUAAAUUUUAAUGAGUAUAUGAAUCACCUGGAUGGGGAGGAUAUAGCCUUGUUGAUAUAAUUAUUGAAUUGAGUGAUACUGAAUUGAUAGGUUUGGGGUGGAAACUGAAUAUUUUCAUUUCUAACAAGCUCCCAGAUGCUGCUGCUGAUUUUUGAACAACACUACAAAUGAGGAGUAAACAUAAAACAAAGAAGAGAGGUCUUUGAUUUUCUGAACCUGUCAGUGAUUUGAAUAUAUGGAAGGGUAAAAGCAAGACAUAUUUACACUGAAAUGCUGAAGAGCCUUGUAUGCACACAUGAGGGUACUCUGAUCUGCACUUCCAAGCCCUGUUAUUAUCAUAUGCAAAUAGCCCUUUGACCACCCUUCACAGCUAUAGCUCUGCCUAACUUUGAGAGAACCAGCCUGAGAACAGUGCCCACUCAGGCCCUGGAAACAUGCUUGGGGAAAAGAAUUCUAGGUGCUUUAAGAUAUAAAUUGCUGGGAUUUCCCAUCAUGGCUCAGCAGUUAAUGAACCUGACUAGUGUCCAUGAGGAGGCGGGUUCAAUUCCUGGCCUCGCCCAGUGGGUUAAUGAUCUGGCAUUGCUAUGAGUUGUGGUGUAGGUCACAGAUGUGGCUCCAAUCUCGAGAUGCUAUGGCUGUGGUGUAGGCUGGCAGCUCCAGCUCCAAUUUGACGCCUAGCCUGGGAACCUCCAUAUGCCUCAGGUGU